This 964-nucleotide ribosomal RNA is filed under the name uncultured bacterium. RNAcentral describes it as "bacterial SSU rRNA". It matches the Rfam family "Bacterial small subunit ribosomal RNA", at positions 483 to 1447 of the family's 1533-position model. The record is from RNAcentral.
CCAGAAAGGGACGGCUAANUACGUGCCAGCAGCCGCGGUAAUACGUAGGUCCCGAGCGUUNUCCGGGUUUAUUGGGCGUAAAGGGAGCGCAGGCGNUCAGGAAAGUCUGGAGUAAAAGGCUAUGGCUCAACCAUAGUGUGCUCUGGAAACUGUNUGACUUGAGUGCAGAAGGGGAGAGUGGAAUUCCAUGUGUAGCGGUGAAAUGCGUAGAUAUAUGGAGGAACACCAGUGGCGAAAGCGGCUCUCUGGUCUGUCACUGACGCUGAGGCUCGAAAGCGUGGGUAGCGAACAGGAUUAGAUACCCUGGUAGUCCACGCCGUAAACGAUGAGUGCUAGGUGUUAGGCCCUUUCCGGGGCUUAGUGCCGGAGCUAACGCAAUAAGCACUCCGCCUGGGGAGUACGACCGCAAGGUUGAAACUCAAAGGAAUUGACGGGGGCCCGCACAAGCGGUGGAGCAUGUGGUUUAAUUCGAAGCAACGCGAAGAACCUUACCAGGUCUUGACAUCCCGAUGCUAUUCUUAGAGAUAGGAAGUUACUUCGGUACAUCGGAGACAGGUGGUGCAUGGUUGUCGUCAGCUCGUGUCGUGAGAUGUUGGGUUAAGUCCCGCAACGAGCGCAACCCUUAUUGUUAGUUGCCAUCAUUAAGUUGGGCACUCUAGCGAGACUGCCGGUAAUAAACCGGAGGAAGGUGGGGAUGACGUCAAAUCAUCAUGCCCCUUAUGACCUGGGCUACACACGUGCUACAAUGGUCGGUACAACGAGUUGCGAGCCGGUGACGGCAAGCUAAUCUCUGAAAGCCGAUCUCAGUUCGGAUUGGAGGCUGCAACUCGCCUCCAUGAAGUCGGAAUCGCUAGUAAUCGCGGAUCAGCACGCCGCGGUGAAUACGUUCCCGGGCCUUGUACACACCGCCCGUCACACCACGAGAGUUUGUAACACCCGAAGUCGGUGAGGUAACCUUCUAGGG